This 72-nucleotide transfer RNA is filed under the name Camelus bactrianus (Bactrian camel). It matches the Rfam family "tRNA". From Rfam's summary of the family: Transfer RNA (tRNA) molecules are approximately 80 nucleotides in length. Their secondary structure includes four short double-helical elements and three loops (D, anti-codon, and T loops). RNAcentral also lists the same sequence under 2 other names. The record is from Rfam by way of RNAcentral. Lineage: Eukaryota; Metazoa; Chordata; Mammalia; Artiodactyla; Camelidae.
GUGGGUACAGCUCAGUGGUAGAGAGCAUGCUUAGCAUGCACAAGGUCCUGGGUUCAAUCCCCAGUACCCCCU